GCCGGGGUAGUGUAGUCUGGUUAGCAUGCGGGCCUGUGGAGCCCGUGAACCCGGGUUCAAAUCCCGGCCCCGGCCCCA
This 78-nucleotide transfer RNA is filed under the name Vulcanisaeta sp. JCHS_4. Its description in RNAcentral is "tRNA-His". It matches the Rfam family "tRNA". From Rfam's summary of the family: Transfer RNA (tRNA) molecules are approximately 80 nucleotides in length. Their secondary structure includes four short double-helical elements and three loops (D, anti-codon, and T loops). Lineage: Archaea; Thermoproteati; Thermoproteota; Thermoprotei; Thermoproteales; Thermoproteaceae. RNAcentral also lists the same sequence under 1 other name. The record is from RNAcentral.